GCUGACGAUUGCAGUAUUAUAUUGGGACCGAAUGGUGGUCUAGUUGGUAUCGAGACUCUGGAAGAAUGGGAAUUUCUUAAAGUGUUGCUCGAAAAUUAUGGAUUUGCCUCAACAUUCUGGACGAGUGGUAAAUUCGAUAUUUUCCGAAACGAAUGGAUUUGGUCCAUAAAUAAUCAACCGAUUCCGUCCAAUCCUCCGUGGGGCGCAGGACAACCUAUUCCGUUGCCGAACCUUUCGCAACGUAUACAAAUCUUUCACUUAAGUCGAUAUGAUGCUUAUUGGCGUAGCGUAGCAGACACUCAACUGCAUCGGUACAUUUGUGAGCUACGCAAAAUAGAUUACGUUUGAACUGUGAACGAUUGUUGGAAUCGAAGAAACGCUGAGUGUCAACGAGUGGA
Molecule: long non-coding RNA, 398 nt
Organism: Bradysia coprophila
Lineage: Eukaryota; Metazoa; Arthropoda; Insecta; Diptera; Sciaridae
Source: RefSeq, a predicted model, not a curated record